UUGGCGGUAGUUCAGUUUGGCAGAACGCUCGGUUGUGGCCCGGGUCGUCGUGAGUUCAAAUCUCGCCCGCCAAC
This 74-nucleotide transfer RNA is filed under the name Candidatus Altarchaeales archaeon WOR_SM1_86-2. Its description in RNAcentral is "Candidatus Altiarchaeales archaeon WOR_SM1_86-2 tRNA-His". It matches the Rfam family "tRNA". From Rfam's summary of the family: Transfer RNA (tRNA) molecules are approximately 80 nucleotides in length. Their secondary structure includes four short double-helical elements and three loops (D, anti-codon, and T loops). Lineage: Archaea; Nanobdellati; Candidatus Altarchaeota; Candidatus Altarchaeia; Candidatus Altarchaeales. The record is from RNAcentral.